Molecule: ribosomal RNA, 302 nt
Filed under: uncultured bacterium
Lineage: Bacteria
Description: partial 16S ribosomal RNA
Rfam family: Bacterial small subunit ribosomal RNA
Source: RNAcentral
GCAGCAGCCGCGGGAAUACGUAGGUGGCAAGCGUUGUCCGGAAUUACUGGGCGUAAAGGGCUCGCAGGCGGUUUCUUAAGUCUGAUGUGAAAGCCCCCGGCUCAACCGGGGAGGGUCAUUGGAAACUGGGAAACUUGAGUGCAGAAGAGGAGAGUGGAAUUCCACGUGUAGCGGUGAAAUGCGUAGAGAUGUGGAGGAACACCAGUGGCGAAGGCGACUCUCUGGUCUGUAACUGACGCUGAGGAGCGAAAGCGUGGGGAGCGAACAGGAUUAGAUACCCGCGUAGUCCCUGUCUCUAUACA